GACGGAGGGUGCAAGCGUUGCUCGGAAUCACUGGGCGUAAAGGGUGCGUAGGCGGUCUCGCAAGUCUGGCGUGAAAGCCCAAGGCUCAGCCUUGGAAGUGCGCUCGAAACGGCGAGGCUGGAGUGCCGGAGGGGAGAGUGGAAUUCCCGGUGUAGCGGUGAAAUGCGUAGAGAUCGGGAGGAAUACCGGUGGCGAAGGCAGGUCUCUGGGCCACUACUGACGCUGAGAAGCGAAAGCGUGGGGAGCGAACAGG
This 253-nucleotide ribosomal RNA is filed under the name uncultured bacterium. Its description in RNAcentral is "partial 16S ribosomal RNA". It matches the Rfam family "Bacterial small subunit ribosomal RNA", at positions 524 to 776 of the family's 1533-position model. The record is from RNAcentral.